CAAUAGCGUAUAUUAAAGUUGUUGCAGUUAAAAAGCUCGUAGUUGGAUUUCGGAGACGACCGGGCGGUCUGUCGAGAGACACGCACUGCUCGGUGGCUCUUCCUCUCGGAGGCCCUGGCUGCCCUUAACUGGAGCGGGCAGGGGAUUCGGGACGUUUACUUUGAAAAAAUUAGAGUGUUCAAAGCAGGCCGGUGCUUGGAUACAUUAGCAUGGAAUAAUGGAAUAGGGCUUGGGUCCUAUUUUGUUGGUUUUCGGGACCGAGGUCAUGGUUAAGAGGGACAGUUGGGGGCAUUCGUAUUCAAUUGUCAGAGGUGAAAUUCUUGGAUUUAUGGAAGACGAACAACUGCGAAAGCAUUUGCCAAGGAUGUUUUCAUUAA
RNAcentral lists this ribosomal RNA (377 nucleotides) under uncultured eukaryote. RNAcentral's name for it is "partial 18S ribosomal RNA". It matches the Rfam family "Eukaryotic small subunit ribosomal RNA", at positions 592 to 976 of the family's 1831-position model. The record is from RNAcentral.